Molecule: ribosomal RNA, 1311 nt
Filed under: uncultured fungus
Lineage: Eukaryota; Fungi
Description: eukaryotic LSU rRNA
Rfam family: Eukaryotic large subunit ribosomal RNA (bases 599-1311)
Source: RNAcentral
AGUCGUAACAAGGUAACCGUAGGUGAACCUGCGGUUGGAUCAUUAUUGAUAUAACAGCGGUUGGUUUUCGGAUGGCUUUACUUGUAUCGCCGUCUGGCUUCCAGUCGUUAACACACUGUGAACUGUUUGUUUUUGGGCGUCUGGGCCGGCCUUUGGGCUAGCCUGGGUGUCUACCUUUAUUAAACCCCUUUACCAAUGACUUACCUUUUGAUAUCGAAUCAAAUACAACUUUUGACAACGGAUCUCUAGGCUCUCGCAACGAUGAAGAACGCAGCGAAAUGCGAUAUGUAAUGUGAAUUGCAGAAUUCCGUGAAUCAUCGAAUCUUUGAACGCACAUUGCGCCCUGGGUAACCAGGGCAUGCCUGUUUGAGAAUCUAUAGUACCAUUCUACGGUUAUUUCUAGCUUGCUAGGCGUAAUCGCAGAGACCUGACUGUUCCAGUUGCAAAACUGGUCGGUUUAAAUUCAUUGCUGUUUGGUUAUAGCGGUUAUGACCCUACCAGUGUGGAGUAUGCGAAUGGCUUUGCCUUUAAUAUUUCAUGCUAGCAGGUAGUCGCUAGGGCCAGGCACUUUACAGGAGUUUCGCAAGAAACCGACACAUGGUCUCAAAUCAGGCAGGAAGACCCGCUGAACUUAAGCAUAUCAAUAAGCGGAGGAAAAGAAACUAACAAGGAUUCCCCUAGUAACGGCGAGUGAAGCGGGAUGAGCUCAAAUUUGAAAUCUCCUAGGUUCCCUAGGCGAAUUGUAGUUUAGAGAAGCGUUUUCGGGUGGAAGUCUGGGACAAGUUCCUUGGAACAGGACAUCACAGAGGGUGAAAAUCCCGUCUUUGCCCAGACCAGUAGCCUAUGCGAUACGUUUUCCAAGAGUCGGUUUGUUUGGGAAUGCAGACCUAAAUGGGAGGUAAAUACCUUCUAAAGCUAAAUAUUGGCGAGAGACCGAUAGCGAACAAGUACCGUGAGGGAAAGAUGAAAAGAACUUUGAAAAGAGAGUUAAACAGUACGUGAAAUUGUCAAAAGGGAAACGUUUGGAAUCAGUAUUGUCUGGUCAAGUUCAGCCGUCUCUCGGGGCGGUGCAUUCUUGGCUGGGCAGGUCAACAUCGGUUUCUGGGGGAGUAAAAAGCUUGCGAAAGGUAGCCUCUCGGGGUGUUAUAGUCGUAGGAAAUGCUUUCUUGGGGACCGAGGACUGCGUGUAGUGUCGGCGCUGGGGGCCAUCUGAAGCACCUGCUGCGAAUGCUUGCACUCGUAGUGGACUGUUAGGGUGCUCUCUAGUUGCUAAUCUGCUCUAGGAUGUUGACGAAAUGGUUCUAAGCGACC